This 551-nucleotide ribosomal RNA is filed under the name Escherichia coli. RNAcentral's name for it is "partial 23S ribosomal RNA". It matches the Rfam family "Bacterial large subunit ribosomal RNA", at positions 2380 to 2925 of the family's 2925-position model. Lineage: Bacteria; Pseudomonadati; Pseudomonadota; Gammaproteobacteria; Enterobacterales; Enterobacteriaceae. The record is from RNAcentral. RNAcentral also lists the same sequence under 1 other name.
CGUGACGGCGCGAGCAGGUGCGAAAGCAGGUCAUAGUGAUCCGGUGGUUCUGAAUGGAAGGGCCAUCGCUCAACGGAUAAAAGGUACUCCGGGGAUAACAGGCUGAUACCGCCCAAGAGUUCAUAUCGACGGCGGUGUUUGGCACCUCGAUGUCGGCUCAUCACAUCCUGGGGCUGAAGUAGGUCCCAAGGGUAUGGCUGUUCGCCAUUUAAAGUGGUACGCGAGCUGGGUUUAGAACGUCGUGAGACAGUUCGGUCCCUAUCUGCCGUGGGCGCUGGAGAACUGAGGGGGGCUGCUCCUAGUACGAGAGGACCGGAGUGGACGCAUCACUGGUGUUCGGGUUGUCAUGCCAAUGGCACUGCCCGGUAGCUAAAUGCGGAAGAGAUAAGUGCUGAAAGCAUCUAAGCACGAAACUUGCCCCGAGAUGAGUUCUCCCUGAGACUUAGAGUCUCCUGAAGGAACGUUGAAGACGACGACGUUGAUAGGCCGGGUGUGUAAGCGCAGCGAUGCGUUGAGCUAACCGGUACUAAUGAACCGUGAGGCUUAACCUU